RNAcentral lists this long non-coding RNA (6130 nucleotides) under Sus scrofa (pig). RNAcentral describes it as "lncRNA (ENSSSCG00000058703.1)". Lineage: Eukaryota; Metazoa; Chordata; Mammalia; Artiodactyla; Suidae. The record is from RNAcentral.
CACACACACAUAUAUUUACAUAUACACAUGUACGUGUAAUACACACAUAAACACAUAUUUACAUUCACACUUGCAUGUAUGUAAUCUGAAAUAUACUCUCAUUGAUAUUUUCUAGACGUUUAUUUGUCAAAGGAAGAUAAAUAUUGAUGGGAAAACACUUGAAAGGAGCUGUCGUCAGACACAUAAUUUAAUUAUAUCCAGAGGUUAAAUCUUUGACACUUGAUUCUUAUUUAUAACUUGGGCAUUUACUAGCAAAAUCACAAAUUUGGAUAUCUUACAAAUAAAUGUCCAUGGGCUCCUGACCAAGCGUGGCCUGACUCUAUAUUUUACCAAAGUUGUGAAUAAAUGAGAAUUUUCCAGAGCGAAUUGCAUCAAGUAGCUUAAAAGAGCAAAGAGCUACUCAUUUAAUUGUUUUAAUGUUAUCCCCCCUUGGGACAUCAAAAGUCUUCUUUUCCAGUCCCUUUUUAGUGUCCCCGCCCCUGCAAAAUGUCCCCCACUCUUUCAAGCAUUUCCCUGUGAAAUCAAAAUCAGUAGGUGGUCCUGGGUUCUCACAACUCUCCUGAGAUCACAGAACCCUGUCCAGCUCCACCGCAAAAAAAAAUAAAAUUAAUUUUAAAAAAAAAGGAAGGGUGGAGGUAGGAGGCAAGGAACCCUAGGAAAGAAUGAAUUACUACAAAAAUCUUUAUUGCUUUUUCCCUCCCCCCAGAUUCCCCUUUGCAGAUAGAAAAGAGUCUCACGUUAUCACGUGUUCAGAAUGUAAGAAGAUGUAAAGGAUUGGAUUCUUUAGUUGAUGUUGCCUCUUUCACUCUUCCGUAGCAUCUCUUAGGUACAUACAAUGAAUCUCAGCGAAGGGAAUCUUUAGCUAGCAUUUUCCUGCAAGGGCUUUUGAUGGGGGAAAUCCUUUACAAUGACAAUUUAGAUAUCCUGUCGGUUAGAUAGAGCACCUUCCCCGUGGGCAUUGCUGUGCUUGGCUGCGUAGGACCCCAAGGACAUCCCGCAGACCUGUUUACCACGUGGGUAGCCUCGGCACCUCCGCGGCCCCUGCCAGGCUCACAGAGGAAGCAGCUUGAGGUUGCAAUAGAAGUAGGAAGAGCUUCUCCGUGGGACCUGACCGCACCUCUGCAGUGUGAUCACACCUCUGGGGGGUGCUAGGCUUCUCUGCCCUGGUCCACACCUCGGCUGAGAUGAGAAGCUCAAGCCUGGUCCUGAUUCCCCGGCUGUACUUGCGCCUUUCCUUCCAUCCCAGCCCAUGUCCACCUUCUUUCAUGUUCCAUCGCUUCCCAUUUUCCGAGGAACAGCUUGCUUUUCACGAAGGAAAGGGUCAGGGUCAGGCCGGAAUGAAAGUUCGCAGUACUCAAUUUUUCUCUUCCGUGUGUCUUUCCACCUUACGUUCUGAGUUUCUUUCUUAUGUCCUGGCUUCCCAGUUUUCCUCAUGCCCACGGCAGGGAUGGCUGCUCCCAUUCUCACUGCCCUGUGCUACCCUUUCCUCCUCAGCUGUCCCACCACAAAAUAACUCCUUUUCUCCCACCCCACCUUGGCCCCCAUUGGGGGUCAUCUGGCCACGUGUUCAGAAGGAAAACAGUUUCAGUAAAUUGAUUGCACAGUUGACAAUCAGAAAAGGAACCUUGCUGAUUUAAAUGAAUGGGUGGAUUAGAUCAUUAGGGGACUGAGUCUUGUAUUGUUCUGGCUUAGAAGAGGUGACCCGUGAAUGUUGAGAUUUGCACUUUCCUAUCUUGUAGCCACUAGCUCCAUCUGCCUGUUUCCAUUCAUUUCAUUAGAAAUUUCAUUUCUCGUUUGCACUAGCCACAUUUCACGUGCUCAUUAACCAUGCUGACUAGUGCCAUCAUUGCCAAGAUUGUACUGGAUGGCACUGCUCUGCAUCAUUGCUGCUCAGCGUGUGGUCCACGGAGCUGCAGCAUCUGUAUCACCUUGGAACUUAGACACAUGCAGACUCCCCCGCUGACCUCCUGAGUCAAAAUCUUCCUUUUCAUAAGCUUCGUCAAGUGAUUAGCACUGGCCUAGAUGCAUUUUAUCUGUCCUAGGUAGGGAGGGAUCAAAAGUCUUCAGGCAUCCUCAAAAUCGCCUAUUCCCCAGCCCACUGUUUCCUGUCCCUUCUCCAGCUCAUCCUAGAAAUGACCUGAAACUCAUGCAUCACCCAGCUGAGUUUUCUUCUCAGCCCUUAUCCCUAAUUCGGGUUCUAGAUGGGCUCCACCUACCCAGGAUAUAUAUUGGUUCUAUUUAGGUAGGGAAGGCGUGGAACGCAGGAAAUUGGCCACCACGGCUGGCCUCUCUCCAGCCCCCCCUACACACCUAAGUCACUUACAGUCUGCAUCUGCUCAGUUUGUGGCUCGUGUGACAUUCUCAUUUGUCCACAACUUAAGUCACAGGGAACAUUUCGGAAGAAUGUGUCCUGAGUUAGGUAAAGACCGGGUCAGUUGCCAACAACUUGCACUUUUCACUUCCUCUUAUCAGUUGAUUAUUCUAUUGGCCUAGUUUAUGCUUGAGGACACAGAGCAGCACACAAACAUUAAAUGAAUCAUUAGGCAUGAAAAAAAAUGAGAGAGAAAGAGACUCAAAAUGAUUACAAAUAAAGCAAAUGUUUCAUUAAAGCCCCCAAAGAAGGCAUGUUUUAAUCAACUAAAAUCUCACUUUUUAUUAUGCUAACUUAGCCUGAUUUUCAGAUAGUUAAUAAUUCCUUAAGAUAGUGCUUGAAAAAUAAUGUAUUCUUGACUCUCAAAACACCAAUUAUUUAAUUCCAUAAUUAGAGCUUUCCCAAUGACAUAUGCUCAAUAAUCCUUUCUUUAAUUUUCACAUAGCGAUAGAAUUUACCAACACAUUACUGCCUAGAGGUUCGUGAGCCAAUUUUAAUGAAUAAAAAGGCCAGUACUUUAGUCUCCCCAGAAGUUAUGUUUAACAGGAAUUGAAGAAGGAAAUAUUCAUGCAAAGCUAUGACUUAGAAAAUUAGAAUAAAAACCUCUCUAAUCAUUUCUAGAGUGAAUUAUCCAACGGGGCUGACAACGCCGUGGACUUUUAUGUUGUACAGAUGUGAAUUCUUCAAUGAUAGCUCUUUUCAUUAAGCUGUAAAAACAUGACAUCUCUCAACCUCGAGAUCUAGGAUCUCUCCUGCUCCCUCUUCUGAAAUGAGCUUAUCUUACAUUUUUCAGAUGCAAGUUGGAUAAAACAGGGGGGUUGGAGAUUAAUGAUGUAAGUGGCAGUUCUUUAAAUCAGCUGAAAAGCGUGAGGAAUGAAGAGUCCUCAAUACUAACUAUUGGUCAAAGCUUCCCAAGUGGUUUUAAGUUUGGCUGCUUUUCCUCUCACUGCCCCAUGCCAAGUGCCACGGGGCUGGGACCUAUCUGUGCUAUGGCACCUCCCCAGUGUCUUGUACAGCAGUCUCUGUGUCCGAUGGGUCAAGUAUUGCCUUUGCAAUAGGAUGCUUUCCUAAAGAAACAGUCAAGGAGUUCCCACCGUGGCUCAGUGGUUAACGAAUCCAACUAGGAACCAUGAGGUUGCAGGUUCGAUCCCUCACCUCGCUCAGUGGGUUAAGGCUCCGGCAUUGCCGUGAGUUGUGGUGUAGGUCACAGACUCGGCUUGGAUCCAGUGUUGCUGUGGCUGUGGUGUAGGCCGGCAGCUACAGCUCCGAUUGGACUCCUAGCCUGGGAACCUCCAUAUGCCACAGGUGUGGCCCUAGAAAAAGACCAAAAAAGACAAAAAGAAAAAGAAACAGUCAAAACUUUGAAGAGACAGUUGUUACUGGUUUUUAUCAUAUGCAAAGCAUUUAUUGUUUUUUCUUUAUUUCUCCAAGUUUUGUUGAGAGGCAUUUCUGUUAGAAUAAAAAGUUAUACCGGUUUAUCAUUAUAGAGAACAGAGAGAUAAAAGACAGCUGGACUGUAUCUAUUUGUAUACUUCUUUCUGUUAUUUCAGGAAAAGAAGUUUCACAGAGUAACCCAGGCUGCAUUAAACUCAGUCAUGAUGUUUAAGAAAAACCCUGUAUUACUAAUAUAGGUGAACGACUUAAUUCCUUUUAUGUAAUUAAGAUCCUAUUUACAUAUAUUUAUAUCCUCUCUCUUCGUUUUUUAUGCACUUCCAAGUUUUGUUGGAAAAAUAGAAACCAAGCUAUUACUUAAAAGUUAGAAAAACACAUACAGUGUUUCAUUGUAGCUACAAGUUAUUCAUUGUAUAGGGAUUUGGAUAUUUCAUAGAACUGCAUUUCAGGAGUAAAUUAACCAAAUUUAAAGAAGUGUAGGAUGACUCUUUAAAUGGAUUAAAAUACAUUUCAUGUUCAGUUGAUAAGGUCAUUGAAGUGGGAUAAUGCAGUUAGAUAGACAAGCUAAAAAGGAAAACGAAUAUAUUUUGUGAUCCUUACUGUUUCAUUGCACUAUUCUUUACUGCAGCUUAGCCAUAUAUAUUUCUAUAUUCUGAGUAUUAAGCUGAUAUGUAGCUAAAGAUUUCCUACAGUUCUGGUAACUGGUAACUAGUGCUGUGGAAGGUUUUGGUGUUGUAACAUUCCCCAUGUUGUGAGUUAUAUAUUGUAUAUGAAAGAUGACUAAUAAAUUGGAGUAAUAUAUUUAUCUAGAGCUGGGAAAAUAUGCUAAUUAUUUUCAAAUCUUCAAGUAAGAUGUAUUGAAUUUUUUCUUCCUCUUAAGUGAGAUGAAAGUCUCCCUUUUAGGUUAAAAUGGCUAUUUAUACAACAGGUGUCUCCUUUUACUGGUUUUAUUAAUGUUCGUAUUAAAAUGUUUCUUAUCUUUUUAUACCAAAACCCCGAUCAUGCUGGUGACGCAAACUGCCACGAUGUAGUUUAGUUUGCAGGACUUUUGGCAGGCAAAAUAUUUAAUAACAAACCAGCUUUGUAUAUUUUAUGGCUUGGGGGGCAAGAAUUUUACCUUUGAAUCUCUAUAUGAGGCAGUGCUCUUAUCAGCAAAGUCAGUAAAAGACAGUGUUACUUACAAUCAUCAGUAGAAGGUUUUUACAAGUUGUAUAAAUCAGUGCAUUUAUUUAUUAUGUCGUGAAAUUUAACCUUUCUACAAAAUGCAUAUUCUAGCUCUUUUUUUUGUUACUGCUGUUGCUUUGAGUGUAAUAGCUCUGUUCAUGAUUCUGCUUGUGUACUUGAAGUACUCAUUUCUGUCAAACAGAUGCCCAGUUUUUUUCCAUGUAAAAAAAUGGUAUUCUUUACUGUCAGAGGUAACUGCAAAGUAAUAGUUUAUUAGGACUUUGUUAAAACAUAAUUUUCAUGGUUAAAAUAAAUACCGAAAAAAGGCAUACUAGCCAAAUUGAAAUAACCCAUCUUGAGAAUUUAAUGUAGUCAGGGAAGUCAUGCCAUAUUUUGCCAAUGUAUGUUUUAUCUUCAAGUCAGAACUUCUUUUCUGUGAUAAAUUUUCAAUUUUUGUUGUAAAAGAGAUCUCCGUGAUUUUACUGCCAAUAUGACCUUCAAAUCAACAUUAAGAAUUUUGAGGGAGUUCCCCCGUAACCUAGCAGUUCAGGAUGCGGGGUCAUCACUGCUAUGGCUCAUGUUCAGCCCCUGACCUGGGAACUUCUGCAAGCCUCAGGCAUGGCUAAAAAGAAAAAAAAAAAAUCUCAAACCCUCCAGAUUUCACAUACCUCUAGCUCUAGGUUGUUUCCAGGUGUAUAUUUUUCACAUUUGACUCUGGGAUGCUCGCUUCAGCGUGCGCAGGAGGGAUGGUGGUUUAUCUGCUUUGUUUCUCCAUUAAUUCAAUAGGAUUGUAAUUGGGUUUGGAAAUAUUUCUGUUUUAAACUCUUCUCUAGUCAACUUUUUAACAACUGAACAUUGAAAACAUGAUAGCCCAACAUACCACACAGAAUAAAGUCAUAUGCUUUCAAGGAAGACAAAUAACUGUUCUGACUUACCAUCGGGUACCAAAGAAAUCACUUUAACCAGCCCUACAUUCAACCAUAUUAUUGUUGUUCAGUGUAAGCAGUAGAUGAAUUCUAAACCGCUUAAGAACUGUAGUCAAUUAAGAAUUAAUUCCCUGUGAUUGUAAAGACAUAGGUUUUGGGAGUUCUCUGAUGGCCUAGCAGGUUGAGGCUCCUGUGUUCUCACUGCUGUGGCUCUGAUUGCUGCUGUGCAGCGUAGGUUCAGUCCCUGGCCCAGGAAUUCCCACAGACUGCCUGUGUG